This is a non-coding RNA of Marmota flaviventris (yellow-bellied marmot), 370 nucleotides long. NCBI's taxonomy places the organism in Eukaryota, Metazoa, Chordata, Mammalia, Rodentia, Sciuridae. The record is from the annotation of a RefSeq genome assembly.
GCCUGGGACUCAAGAAGCAGCUACAGGGACACCAUGACUUGGAAGGCUCUUCUCCUCAGCCUCCUGGCUCAUUACACAGGCUCUGUAGCCACUUAUGUGCUGACUCAGCCAUCGUCAGUAUCAGUGACCCCUGAACAAGCGGCCAGAAUCACCUGUGAAGGCAAUAGUAUUGGCAGCUAUUGUGUAUACUGGUAUCAGCAGAAGCCAGCACAGUCCCCGCUGCUCAUCAUCUACAAUGAUAAUAACCGGCCCUCAGGGAUCCCUGACCGAUUCACUGGCUCCAACUCUGGGAACACAGCCACCCUGACCAUCAGUGGGACCCAGGCUGGAGAUGAGGCUGACUAUUACUGUCAGGUGUGAGAUGGUAAUG